GGCUUUCCUAAGCGGCAAAGCCAAGGCCUUGGGCCAGAGGGCCGCAGCACUACCUCUCACCUGCAGUGGGAUCUGUCUCAACUCCCACUCCGUCUCCAGGGCCAAGGUCUGGAGGGACCGUGAGCUCGGAUCAGGACACACCAGCACAGCCUCAUCCACCACACCACAGGCUCCGGUGAGACUCUGAAGCCAGGGCGUUGAAACCCUGACCUACAGGAAAGAUAGCCUAGUGAGAGAGGUUCGUGAGAACUUUUACAUUUCCCUCUCGGCUCAUCAGCAAUGUCACCACCAAUCUCACGGGGGGCUAAGAUCAAAGGUUCUUCAUGGCUGGCUCUAAAGGACUUCUUCCCAUCCCUCCCAACCUCUCAAGAGCUCCAAAGUUGGAGAAAAUCAGGAUUUUGUUUCUGGUCACUGGAAAAACAUACCCAGUCGUCUUUAAGACCUG
Molecule: long non-coding RNA, 445 nt
Filed under: Lynx pardinus (Iberian lynx)
Lineage: Eukaryota; Metazoa; Chordata; Mammalia; Carnivora; Felidae
Source: RNAcentral